RNAcentral lists this ribosomal RNA (253 nucleotides) under uncultured bacterium. RNAcentral describes it as "partial 16S ribosomal RNA". It matches the Rfam family "Bacterial small subunit ribosomal RNA", at positions 524 to 776 of the family's 1533-position model. The record is from RNAcentral.
UACGUAGGUGGCAAGCGUUGUCCGGAUUUAUUGGGCGUAAAGCGCGCGCAGGUGGUUUCUUAAGUCUGAUGUGAAAGCCCACGGCUCAACCGUGGUGGGUCAUUGGAAACUGGGGAACUUGAGUGCAGAAGAGGAUAGUGGAAUUCCAAGUGUAGCGGUGAAAUGCGUAGAGAUUUGGAGGAACACCAGUGGCGAAGGCGACUGUCUGGUCUGUAACUGACACUGAGGCGCGAAAGCGUGGGGAGCAAACAGG